AUAUGACUUAUCUGCUUUUUUCAAAUUAGUGAGGAACAUGAUCGGUAAGAGAAGAAACAUUAAUUAAUUGUUGGAAAAAUGAGAAGACGAAAGCUGAGUAUUAAUCAACGAAGACUUCGACGUUAGAAUAUUGACAAGACUUCGUUGGAUCUAAUGAAGGAAAAGUGAUAAGAAAUAAUGGACGAAAGAAUACGCAGAUCUUCAUCAGAGAUUUUUUUUCAUCUUCAUCGAGAAAAAGGAUAAAUCGAUAUUGGGCAAAGGUUUAAUUAUCAGAGGCAUUCGUUUUCCACAUCGUAGCAUCCUGUAGGAAGAAAAUAG
Long non-coding RNA from Vespa mandarinia (Asian giant hornet), 318 nucleotides. Lineage: Eukaryota; Metazoa; Arthropoda; Insecta; Hymenoptera; Vespidae. The record is from RefSeq and is a predicted model, not a curated record.